GCACGAUGAGGGGAACCCCGGAAACUGGGGAUAAUACCCCAUAGGUUAGGGUGGCUGGAAUGCCCCCUAGCUCAAAGGUCCGCCGCCACAGGAUGGGUCUGCGGCCGAUUAGGUUGUUGUUGGGGUAACGGCCCAACAAGCCUUUGAUCGGUACGGGUUGUGGGAGCAAGAGCCCGGAGAUGGAUUCUGAGACACGAAUCCAGGCCCUACGGGGCGCAGCAGGCGCGAAAACUUUACAAUGCGAGAAAUCGUGAUAAGGGAACCCCGAGUGCCCGUAAAUUCGGGCUGUCCGCCAGUGCAAAAAACUGGUGAAGAAAGAGCCGGGCAAGACCGGUGCCAGCCGCCGCGGUAAUACCGGCGGCUCGAGUGGUGGCCACUAUUACUGGGCUUAAAGCGUCCGUAGCUUGGUUGUUAAGUCUCCUGGGAAAUCCAUCGGCUCAACCGAUGGGCGUUCAGGAGAUACUGGCAACCUAGGGACCGGGAGAGGUGAGAGGUACUCCAGGGGUAGGAGUGAAAUCCUGUAAUCCUUGGGGGACCACCUGUGGCGAAGGCGUCUCACUAGAACGGCUCCGACAGUGAGGGACGAAAGCUGGGGGAGCAAACCGGAUUAGAUACCCGGGUAGUCCCAGCUGUAAACGAUGCGCGUUAGGUGUAUCGGUGACCACGAGUCACCGAGGUGCCGAAGGGAAACCGUGAAACGUGCCGCCUGGGAAGUACGGUCGCAAGGCUGAAACUUAAAGGAAUUGGCGGGGGAGCAC
Molecule: ribosomal RNA, 758 nt
Filed under: uncultured archaeon
Lineage: Archaea
Description: bacterial SSU rRNA
Rfam family: Archaeal small subunit ribosomal RNA
Source: RNAcentral